UACGGAGGAUGCAAGCGUUAUCCGGAAUGAUUGGGCGUAAAGCGUCCGCAGGUGGCUAUGUAAGUCUGCUGUUAAAGAGUGAGGCUCAACCUCAUAAGAGCAGUGGAAACUACAUAGCUAGAGUGCGUUCGGGGCAGAGGGAAUUCCUGGUGUAGCGGUGAAAUGCGUAGAUAUCAGGAAGAACACCCGUGGCUAAGGCGGCUCUCUAGUACGGUACUGACGCUGAGACGCGAAAGCGUGGGGAGCGAACAGG
RNAcentral lists this ribosomal RNA (253 nucleotides) under uncultured bacterium. RNAcentral describes it as "partial 16S ribosomal RNA". It matches the Rfam family "Bacterial small subunit ribosomal RNA", at positions 524 to 776 of the family's 1533-position model. The record is from RNAcentral.